Long non-coding RNA from Numida meleagris (helmeted guineafowl), 4841 nucleotides. RefSeq lists it as uncharacterized. NCBI's taxonomy places the organism in Eukaryota, Metazoa, Chordata, Aves, Galliformes, Numididae. The record is from RefSeq and is a predicted model, not a curated record. The transcript is spliced from 4 exons.
UCAAUUCAAGCCAUCCCAGAGCCAGGACUCAGGUUUCAUAGGACAAAAGGUGCUCUUAAUCCAGGUGACAAGCAGUGAACUCUGAGCAAGACAAGCAGUCAGAGCAAUCUACAGAAUUGCCUACAGGUGGAUGCGAGCAGCCAAGAAGCCACAGCAGAGAGAAGCCAGGACUGAAUGGUCUCCCAGGGUGAAGGAAGGCACGAGCCGCACCUGAAAGCCUUCGAACUCUGUGCCAUGACACCAGUAGAUGUCAGUUUAAUCUCAAAAAUGAAUGCCUCUGCAUAGAUGCUAGAUUUAUUAGCUUCUGCUUCAGUGAGGUUCCACCAAAAUGAACUAAACUAAAUGAAGUUGCGAAUCAGAAGUCAACGUACGUUCAAUGUGCAGAGAAACUCAGAGCUGGGGUUUGAAGGUUGCCAGGAAGCCGGGUACCUUGAGUGCUCGCUGCUUUGUGGUGUUAAUUUGGCCAUUAAUAGCUGAAGUUAUCCCCAGAUAAAUUCUAUGCAUGGCCAGGGAGAAGAGAAAAAGAGAACAGAGAGCCACAAAUACACCCUCAAUUUCAAAAACUGUUUCACGAGGACAAACACCCCGUGACUGAUGGACAGUCUCACAACUGCACCAACAUGGAAACUGCAGGGAAAACAAAGCAAAAAGCCCCCUCACGUGACAGAUAAGAGAAGUGAUGUCUUCAAGUCAGCUCUCAGACAUGUUAUCUUGCAUCAAUCUUAUUUCUCAAUUCCUAUUUUCUUCCAGUAUCUUUUACACUUCCCCUGGUGCUGGAAACCAAUGGGAUGAAAAGGGAGAACUAUCUAAAAGGUGUUGAGCUUUGGAACUGCUCUCAGGUCUCUUCAUCCCGUGCCUCACCUCCCCCCGCAGUGCAUGGCCAGGGGCUGCCGCCUUCCUGGCCAGGGCAGCUCUUAGUUGUAUCUCAGCAGCUCCUGGACACCAAGCACCUGCCAUCCUCUUUCCUUCUCUUCCGAGCAUGCACCCUCCUCGUUGUACAUGCCGGCUUAGCACAGCUGUGAAAGGAAAAGAUUAGUUACCUUCUCUGCAAGCUGGUAACGUGCUGGGCGCCAUACUUGGGAGGGGCUGGAAAAUGAAUGGGUUUAUUACAUGAAAGAGAGAAGCAGCACAACUAAUUGGAAACCACAAAUGAUCCUCCAGGACUGGAACUGGUUGACAGCACUGCUAAAUUGACCCAAAGCUACUAUGAGGACUUGAACGUCCUGACUUAUGUUGAUUAAUUGCUUUGAUCAAUUCUAGAUCAUUAAUUUAAAAUUAAUUAUGAAGAAAAUAACAAAGAACUUUACAUUUGAUAAUUUUACAACUGGUAGCAAGCAAUUCAUAUCCCAGCAAACAGAUUACUGUUUCCUCAAAAGGAAGGGCACAAAGCAAACUCAAAUAACUACACUUACAAAAUCAGUGUCCCAGGAGAGGGACUGUCCACGCUCAGCCACUAACUCGUACUAUUUUACACAUUGCACUACUGGGCAAUUUUAUGGCAUACACACACACGCAAAAUAAUCUUCGUCUCAAAGACUCAGACAUAACAUGCCUCGUCCAUAAGAUGGCGUACGUUGCGUCCAAAACACUUUGCAACAUCAGACACAGAGGCUUAAAUCCUUGACAAAGUUACUCCCCUGCACCCUGCUACCACCAACCAAACGAGAAUUUCCUUCACCCAGAGGGCCCGCAAAUCUGACCUCAGCAAAUGCCAUGGAAAGCCAACUUCACCACCACGAGACAGGGCGAAUCGCUUGGAUGAGAACGUGGAUGUCCUUCUGCUGAGGAUGAUUUUAUGGGACUGUGGUUUGAGCAAAUGUCACGGACAGGACAUUAUUUAUUAGUGUGAUUCGUGGCAAGAAAGGAAAAAGAUCAAUUUAAAAUCACUCAUAUGCAGAGAUGGAAGUUACAUCAGUUGCUCCUUAAAGAUACAAAAGCCCCACCCACUCCUAAGCCCCUCAGCAGCUUUAUAUCCCAUACAUACAAUUCAUGCAAUUACAUUUCCCAUACAUACACAAAUUACAGUGGGAGGGGCUGAGUUUUUUUAUGAAUAAGAACACUGCAGUGUUAAUAGACUAUUGCUGGAAUAUUUUCAUUUAGUAGCAGCAGCCUUGCACUGAAGCUGGAGUUUGCAGUGCCAUAUUGUUCAGCAUUUAAGCUGCAAUAUCAUCCUCGUGGAAAUGGGGCUAUGCGUUCAGCCAUACAGCAUCAUUCUGGGAACCACUGACAGGAAGACAGACAGGCAGACAGGAAGGAAGGGAAAGAAAGAAAAGAAGGGAGGAAGGAAGGGAGGAAAGAAGGAAGGAAGGAAGGAAAAGAAAGAGCUUUCCUUUGCUUCAGUACAAGCACAGUAGAUGCUCCUGGCUGUGGUUAUCUGAAGUACUUAGGACACCUCAGUACAAUUCAAAAAAUUCUGUCUUCAGCAGCAGCUGCUGAAUUCUCCAUUAUGCAGUAAAAACAGGAUGGGUGAUAACAGCACUGCCAGGACUGUCACUGACAAAGCUUUACUUGCCACUCUGCUCUUUCAACAGGCUACGUGACAGCAAGCGAGAAAUACGAAUGAUUCCUUGAGAACUGCGAGAUAGACCGGAUAAAACCGCCCUAUUUGGGCUGCCAGUGAUGCAAAUAGGCAUCAUGGGUAACAGAGAGGAUCACACCAUCUCUUUCCACUUGAAUUAAAGAAAAUCAGCGCCUGAGAACUAGGGCAGGGCAAACAGAGAGAGCCCCAGCACUUUAUCAGAACCCUCCAUAUCCAAAUCCUACCAAAAGCACUCAAGCAGCAGUUUUUUUUCCUCUUUCAGCCAUUUUUAGACCCAAAAAAGACUUUCUAGUUGUCAGCUUUCUACCCAAUCACUUCUUGCAUGCUGUUGUGCAGGCUGUGCAGGUGGUGUCAGAGCACAGGGCAUGUAACACAAGGAGCUGCGUUGCUGCCAGAGAGCAACAGCUGAAGUCACCUGGCUGCUUGCUUCAUGGCAAAAGCAAGCUCUGCUCAGCUCCAGGGAUGGGGUCAGUCACUCCUCCACCCCUCGCUGGAUUGUAACCCUGCAUGGGAAGCAGGCUGUGUCUGCAGCACCAGCUAUCUGCUCCAUUCCGCUGCUUGGGUGCGAGGUCACACCGCAGAGACGAGCACAUCUGCUCCAUCCUGGCCAUGCAGCAAUAAAUAAUUGUAACCCUGUGCAAAGCUGCAGAUAAGCCAGAGGCACCUGCAGCUUGGUUGGAAAGAAGCCAAGCAUUUUUAUCUUCUUUCCCAACAGAAAAAAAGAACAAUCUGUUGCAUUCGGUACAUUUAUUCAGUGAACGCAGCUAAUGGUGAAGGAGCAGCAGCACACACAGCUGCAGGUUCUCCUGCCUCUUUUGUUUUGGAUGAACUGCCAUGCAAUGGCAGUGCUGCAUGCCGUACACACUGCUCCUCUCCCUGUUAUAAACCAGCUCUGCUUUCUACCAAGGAGUUUGCUUAGAACUGAUGCCUCCUCUUUGAUGGGGAAUGAGAUCCCUUUAACCAAGAAACAGGUUUUUCAGGCACACAAUACCAAAAAGAAAAGCAAAAAGCACAAAUAAAUAAAUACAGCCAGUAAAAGGUGAAGCUCUAUUUUAUAAUACCAACUUUCAGCAGCAGAGUAUGCUGGACUGCAUUUUGAGAAAUGCUUUCACAUGCAUCACAAACAAAGAUUGAAGCUCUUCAUUUGCUUGUAUCAAGUGAAGCUGGGUUUCCCAGCCAUCGCCCACAAGCACGGCUGGCUGCCCACACUUUUGUCUCUUCCCACGCUGUCAGCAGGAAGGUGGUAGUAAGAAAUACCAAAAUUUGAACAUUUUAGCAAAAGCCAGCGUGGUUUCCUGCUUUCCAAGAGGGACCUACUGAUCUUCCUGGAUGAGGUGUAUGAGCCCAAGGAUUUGGGGGUUCUCUUUAUGCGGUCUCUAAAGCUCCUGGAGCCACUUCGGGAAUUGAACAGAAACACAUAAAUGUCAGUUAUUUCCCUUGUUAAGGGGUUUGCCUUUCAUUGCUUCUCACAUCAUAUCCAUUGCACUUCACUUCCAUAAGCACCUUUAGAUUCUUUGGCAGACGAGGUGUGGAAAAAGAGGAUAGCGCUGAACGUGGGAAAAAAGAGGGUCAGUUUCCAAAACACCUCAGUGAGAACUUCAAACUCUUCUACUUUAUUCAAAAAGCAUGUUAAAAUUGGGGGAAAAAAGGUGACUAAAUAGACUCCAUGCUAAUUUUGCUCUUUAUGAGAUAGGUUUUGCCUUCUAUCAGGCUCUGACGAAAUCUGAAGUUAAAGGACAAGUUUGUGUCACGCAGCCAGGCCCCGCAAGCACUGGGCCGGGGCCGUCCCCAUGGUCACAGCAGGAUGCCCACCAGUGAGAACCAGCUGCUGUCUCCCUCCUUCCCUAGCAUUCUGUAAGCACGGGUAGUGUAACUCCUGCUGGGGAAUCCGCACUGUGCAGUUCAGCUGCUAAUCAGGUCUUCACUCUAACAAAAUUGUUUCCAUUUAAUGUUAAUUACAUUGGCAAUUUGCUGCUGACAGUUUCUAAUUUCUGUCACCAAGGGCAUUCUGGACAUGGGGAAACUGCACAUUCAGUUCUUGGUCUGAUCCUGCUUUGUGCUCCCUGGUUCAAUGGGCUGCUUAAAUAAUUAUUUUUAAAUCGCUCUGUGACUGUUCAGCUGCAGUUCUGUGUCACGGGCUGCAGUGACAUUGGAUGCCCUUCGAACAGCUGUGCAAAACCAAGAGCUCUAUUCACUAGCACAACACUUUGGGAAGUGAAUCUCAAAGCAGCUGCAGCAGGCUGGCAAUCUGCACAGCCAAUUACAUCACUCGAGCACCACCACAGGAUUCCCAGUUAAGCGC